This is a long non-coding RNA of Chinchilla lanigera (long-tailed chinchilla), 948 nucleotides long. RefSeq lists it as uncharacterized. The transcript has 4 exons. NCBI's taxonomy places the organism in Eukaryota, Metazoa, Chordata, Mammalia, Rodentia, Chinchillidae. The record is from RefSeq and is a predicted model, not a curated record.
GGUGCUUUAAUGAGGACACCACAAAUCAGAAGGACUAACUCAUAUUUUUCAGUUUUGUUUUUGCAGUGCUAAGGAUGGAAACCAGGGACUCACACAUGUUAGAUAGCAGAACUAUGAAGCAGAAGAUCAUGGACUAUCUAGGAUAACAUAGCUAAGAACUGGGAGAGGUAUCCUGGAAAGCUGGCUGUCCUGCACACAGAGUUCACAUUCCUAAACAUCAUAUUAUUGUACAGAAGAAUUCUUCCGAGGUUUAACAUGAAGAGAAAGAAUAGAGUUAUAUGGAAAUACAGAACAGAAGAACCAAUGGAUAAUUUUUCAUAUUGCAAAGUCACCGCGUCCCAUGCUGAUCACAGUUGCCAGGGCCUGCAAGGAUUACCCUGAAUCCAGGACAAGGAUUCCGCACCUGCUGGACCCCAAAGGACAAGGUGUGGUUCUGAUUGGAUGACGAUUGGAUGACGUUCUCCUCUAUGCCUAGUAAGGGAAGGCCACGCCCUUCAUUCUUCCCCUGAGACCUGGCUUAGGAAACGCUGCCCCUCAGGCUGACCUCCCUGAAAGUCUUUCGGGCUGGUAUGCAGAGGGCUAUUCUCUUGCCAGCCAAACUGGAUAUGUUCUAGAGUUUAUACCGUUUCCGUCUCUGGAGGAGUCCCAAACAAAACCCAAGCCAACCAAAUAUAACGCAGCGAAGUGUCCCGCCAACCAAAAGGAUGCUGGCUCCUCCCCGGGUUGGAAGACAGAACAGCCUUGUCUGAAAGGUUUUCACCUUCAACCUGGACACCUAGGCAUUAUCAUCCUUUCACCGAAUGAAUGUUAACGGACGAAGAGAAAACACUGCUUUUAAGCCUGGACUGUAAAAUAUACAGCUCUUUCCUUGCCCCCGGAUGAACUCACGUUCGCCUUAGAGUUUUGUUCAGUUGCAUUUAGACAAUAAAGAGCUGAAAUAAAACUCGA